AACGAACGCUGGCGGCAUGCCUAACACAUGCAAGUCGAACGAGACCUUCGGGUCUAGUGGCGCACGGGUGCGUAACGCGUGGGAACCUGCCCUUAGGUUCGGAAUAACUCCCCGAAAGGGGUGCUAAUACCGGAUAAUGUCUUCGGACCAAAGAUUUAUCGCCUUUGGAUGGGCCCGCGUUGGAUUAGUUAGUUGGUAGGGUAAAAGCCUACCAAGGCGACGAUCCAUAGCUGGUCUGAGAGGAUGAUCAGCCACACUGGGACUGAGACACGGCCCAGACUCCUACGGGAGGCAGCAGUGGGGAAUAUUGGACAACGGGCGAAAGCCUGAUCCAGCAAUGCCGCGUGAGUGAUGAAGGCCUUAGGGUUGUAAAGCUCUUUUACCCGGGAUGAUAAUGACAGUACCGGGAGAAUAAGCUCCGGCUAACUCCGUG
Molecule: ribosomal RNA, 433 nt
Filed under: uncultured bacterium
Lineage: Bacteria
Description: partial 16S ribosomal RNA
Rfam family: Bacterial small subunit ribosomal RNA
Source: RNAcentral